Molecule: ribosomal RNA, 304 nt
Filed under: unidentified
Description: Stasimopus maraisi partial large subunit ribosomal RNA
Rfam family: Bacterial large subunit ribosomal RNA
Source: RNAcentral
UAAUUAGUAUUUCCUGCUCAAUGAAUUUUAAAUAGCCGCAAUUUUUGUGCUAAGGUAGCAUAAUCAUUUGCCUUUUAAUUAAAGGCUUGGAUGAAAGGAUCAACGAGUUGAGCCCUAUAUUAUUUUGAUUUCUCUAAAUUUCCAUUUAAGUUAUAAGGCUUAAAUAUUAAGAGAAGACGACAAGACCCCAUCGAACUUCAAAUAAGUUUUAACUGGGGCGGUACAAAAACAAAAUCUUUUUAAAUUUUAAAAUAAAAUCAACCCUAUAAAAAGGAUUCUUAACAAGUUACCGUGGGGAUAACAG